Molecule: ribosomal RNA, 407 nt
Filed under: uncultured bacterium
Lineage: Bacteria
Description: partial 16S ribosomal RNA
Rfam family: Bacterial small subunit ribosomal RNA
Source: RNAcentral
AUUGAACGCUGGCGGCAGGCCUAACACAUGCAAGUCGAGCGGAGCGGCGGACGGGUGAGUAAUGCCUAGGAAUCUGCCUGGUAGUGGGGGAUAACGUCCGGAAACGGGCGCUAAUACCGCAUACUAUCAGAUGGGCCUAGGUCAGAUUAGCUAGUUGGUGGGGUAAAGGCCUACCAAGGCGACGAUCCGUAACUGGUCUGAGAGGGUGAUCAAUCAGAGUGUAAUAGAGAUACAGUCCAGAAGCCUGCAGGAGGCGUAAGAUGGGAAUUUUGGACAAUGGGCAAAGGCCUGAUCCAGCCAUGCAGCGUGUGUGAAGAAGGCCUUCGGAUUGUGAAGCACUUUAAGUAGGAAGACUUUACCGACAGAAUAAGCAACUACUAACUUCGUGCCAGAAGCCGCGGUAAUGC